RNAcentral lists this ribosomal RNA (253 nucleotides) under uncultured bacterium. RNAcentral's name for it is "partial 16S ribosomal RNA". It matches the Rfam family "Bacterial small subunit ribosomal RNA", at positions 524 to 776 of the family's 1533-position model. The record is from RNAcentral.
UACGAAGGGGGCUAGCGUUGCUCGGAAUCACUGGGCGUAAAGCGCACGUAGGCGGCUUGUUAAGUCAGGGGUGAAAUCCUGGAGCUCAACUCCAGAACUGCCUUUGAUACUGGCGAUCUUGAGUCCGGAAGAGGUGAGUGGAACUCCGAGUGUAGAGGUGAAAUUCGUAGAUAUUCGGAAGAACACCAGUGGCGAAGGCGGCUCACUGGUCCGGUACUGACGCUGAGGUGCGAAAGCGUGGGGAGCAAACAGG